UUGUAUUUUAAUCAAUUAAUAGUUAAAUAUAAAUUGAAAUACAAUGUUUAUGUAAUUAUCCAGUAGGCAAUGAUAUUGAUAUAAACUUAGAACUAAUCAUUCUGAGUACAAAAAUCAUCAUACUUAUCUGGUCAUUAUGUAAUCUGGUACGAUACUUUAUCUAAAUUGUAAAUAUUCAUUACAUUUAUAUUACAGUGCAAGACCGAGUUAAGCUCAUCUGUUUCUAGUGUAUAGGUAAUUAAAAUUUGUCUCUUAGAUCUAUGUAGUGAUCUAAAAUGAGAAUGUUAAGUUAUUAAAAGUAUGUUUUACUGUUUUAUAGACAGCUUGGUGAUUAUUUCUGAUGAUGAGAUUCCCGAAACAACCACUCAGGACCUUUUGAAUCUGAGUUCCACACAAUUUGAGGGAAACGUGUCUAACAGUGAUUACGACGGAGAUAUUUCAGAUACGAGUGCUGCAAUAGAAGACCCAGAGGAAAUCAUCUCGGAAACCGACAUUCAACAAGACAUCGAACUACAACAGAUCUGCGCAGUGUGGCGUGAAUUCUUCGAAGCAAAGACUGAUUUAUUGGAAAACUUUGGACAGAUUGAUUAUACACUUGAAUCUGAUCGAGGUACAGAU
This is a long non-coding RNA of Ictalurus punctatus (channel catfish), 618 nucleotides long. RefSeq lists it as uncharacterized. The transcript is spliced from 3 exons. Lineage: Eukaryota; Metazoa; Chordata; Actinopteri; Siluriformes; Ictaluridae. The record is from RefSeq and is a predicted model, not a curated record.